This 468-nucleotide ribosomal RNA is filed under the name uncultured bacterium. Its description in RNAcentral is "partial 16S ribosomal RNA". It matches the Rfam family "Bacterial small subunit ribosomal RNA", at positions 28 to 507 of the family's 1533-position model. The record is from RNAcentral.
GACGAACGCUGGCGGCGUGCUUACCCCAUGCAAUUCGAACGGAAAGGCCCUGCUUUUGUGGGGUGCUCGAGUGGCGAACGGGUGAGUAACACGUGAGUAACCUGCCCUUGACUUUGGGAUAACUUCAGGAAACUGGGGCUAAUACCGGAUAGGAGCUCCUGCUGCAUGGUGGGGGUUGGAAAGUUUCGGCGGUUGGGGAUGGACUCGCGGCUUAUCAGCUUGUUGGUGGGGUAGUGGCUUACCAAGGCUUUGACGGGUAGCCGGCCUGAGAGGGUGACCGGCCACAUUGGGACUGAGAUACGGCCCAGACUCCUACGGGAGGCAGCAGUGGGGAAUAUUGCACAAUGGGCGGAAGCCUGAUGCAGCAACGCCGCGUGCGGGAUGACGGCCUUCGGGUUGUAAACCGCUUUCGCCUGUGACGAAGCGUGAGUGACGGUAAUGGGUAAAGAAGCACCGGCUAACUACGUG